Molecule: ribosomal RNA, 497 nt
Filed under: uncultured bacterium
Lineage: Bacteria
Description: partial 16S ribosomal RNA
Rfam family: Bacterial small subunit ribosomal RNA
Source: RNAcentral
GAUGAACGCUGGCGGCGUGCCUAAUACAUGCAAGUCGAGCGAACGGACGAUAAGCUUGCUCUUCUGACGUUAGCGGCGGACGGGUGAGUAACACGUGGAUAACCUACCUAUAAGACUGGGAUAACUUCGGGAAACCGGAGCUAAUACCGGAUAAUAUUUUGAACCGCAUGGUUCAAUAGUGAAAGACGGUUUUGCUGUCACUUAUAGAUGGAUCCGCGCUGGAUUAGCUAGUUGGUAAGGUAACGGCUUACCAAGGCGACGAUGCGUAGCCGACCUGAGAGGGGGAGCGGCAACACUGGAACUGAGACACGGUCCAGACUCCUACGGGAGGCAGCAGUGGGGAAGAGUGGGCAAUGGGCGAAAGCCUGAAGGAGAAAGGCCGCGUGGGUGAAGAAGGGCUUCGGAUCGUAAAACGCUGUUGUUGGGGAAGAAAAGAUGUGGGAGAAGAGGGGGAGGUCGUGACGGUACCGAAGGAGAAAGCGACGGCUAACUUCGUG